GCGGGCUUGGAAUUAAGAUGCUGUGGGCCCGCAUCAGGCGCGUUCCAGCUUGCGAUCACGGGGAUCUCUACACGCAAGCAAGUAUAGCCAUCAGCACUUAAAGUAGGCCGCCGGGGACACUCACCUUAGCCCGCGCGCUCCGAAUUUUAUGUAGUGUUGAUGUCGCACGCUUUAGAGGGGUGGGCUGUGUUGAACGGCUCAGAAAGUGCGAACGCCGC
Molecule: non-coding RNA, 218 nt
Filed under: unclassified sequences
Description: PAGEV RNA
Rfam family: PAGEV RNA
Source: Rfam by way of RNAcentral